This 465-nucleotide ribosomal RNA is filed under the name uncultured bacterium. Its description in RNAcentral is "partial 16S ribosomal RNA". It matches the Rfam family "Bacterial small subunit ribosomal RNA", at positions 338 to 795 of the family's 1533-position model. The record is from RNAcentral.
CCUACGGGAGGCUGCAGUAGGGAAUCUUCCACAAUGGACGAAAGUCUGAUGGAGCAACGCCGCGUGAGUGAAGAAGGGUUUCGGCUCGUAAAGCUCUGUUGGUAGUGAAGAAAGAUAGAGGUAGUAACUGGCCUUUAUUUGACGGUAAUUACUUAGAAAGUCACGGCUAACUACGUGCCAGCAGCCGCGGUAAUACGUAGGUGGCAAGCGUUGUCCGGAUUUAUUGGGCGUAAAGCGAGUGCAGGCGGUUCAAUAAGUCUGAUGUGAAAGCCUUCGGCUCAACCGGAGAAUUGCAUCAGAAACUGUUGAACUGGAGUGCAGAAGAGGAGAGUGGAAUUCCAUGUGUAGCGGUGGAAUGCGUAGAUAUAUGGAAGAACACCAGUGGCGAAGGCGGCUCUCUGGUCUGCAACUGACGCUGAGGCUCGAAAGCAUGGGUAGCGAACAGGAUUAGAUACCCCUGUAGUC